RNAcentral lists this ribosomal RNA (480 nucleotides) under uncultured bacterium. Its description in RNAcentral is "bacterial SSU rRNA". It matches the Rfam family "Bacterial small subunit ribosomal RNA", at positions 28 to 507 of the family's 1533-position model. The record is from RNAcentral.
GACGAACGCUGGCGGCGUGCUUAACACAUGCAAGUCGAACGAGAACCUUAUCAGUGGAAACUUCGGUAGAAACAGAUAGGAGGAAAGUGGCGAACGGGUGAGUAACGCGUGAGCAACCUGCCUUACACAAAGGGAUAGCCUCGGGAAACCGGGAUUAAUACCAUAUGAGACCCCGUUGGCGAGUGCCAAAGAGGUUAAAGAUUUAUCGGUGUAAGAUGGGCUCGCGUCUGAUUAGCUAGUUGGUAGGAUAAAAGCCUACCAAGGCGACGAUCAGUAACCGGCUUGAGAGAGUGAACGGUCACAUUGGAACUGAGACACGGUCCAAACUCCUACGGGAGGCAGCAGUGGGGAAUAUUGCACAAUGGGGGAAACCCUGAUGCAGCGACGCCGCGUGAGCGAAGAAGGUUUUCGAAUCGUAAAGCUCUGUCCUUGGAGAAGAUAAUGACGGUAACCAAGGAGGAAGCACCGGCUAAAUACGUG